RNAcentral lists this ribosomal RNA (621 nucleotides) under uncultured organism. RNAcentral's name for it is "bacterial SSU rRNA". It matches the Rfam family "Bacterial small subunit ribosomal RNA", at positions 821 to 1456 of the family's 1533-position model. The record is from RNAcentral.
UGUUGGCGAUAGACAGUCAGCGGCCAAGGGAAACCGAUAAGUGAGCCACCUGGGGAGUACGUCCGCAAGGUUGAAACUCAAAGGAAUUGACGGGGGCCCGCACAAGCGGUGGAACAUGUGGUUUAAUUCGAUGAUACGCGAGGAACCUUACCUGGGCUUAAAUGUGAAGUGCAUUGAUUGGAAACAAUCAUUUCCUUCGGGACCCUUUACAAGGUGCUGCAUGGUUGUCGUCAGCUCGUGCCGUGAGGUGUCGGGUUAAGUCCCAUAACGAGCGCAACCCCUAUUGUUAGUUACCAGCGCGUGAUGGCGGGGACUCUAGCGAAACUGCCGGUGUAAACCGCGAGGAAGGUGGGGAUGACGUCAAAUCAGCACGGCCCUUAUGUCCAGGGCUACACACGUGUUACAAUGGCCGGUACAGCGGGCAGCUAGGCAGCGAUGUCAUGCUAAUCCCGAAAGCCGGUCCCAGUUCGGAUUGGAGUCUGCAACCCGACUCCAUGAAGGUGGAAUCGCUAGUAAUCGCGCAUCAGCCAUGGCGCGGUGAUACGUUCCCGGGCCUGUACACACCGCCCGUCAAGCCAUGGAAUCUGGGUGCCUAAGCCGUAACCGCAAGGAGCGUCUAGG